AGCAUUUGGGGAGCCUGUG
RNAcentral lists this unclassified non-coding RNA (19 nucleotides) under Mus musculus (house mouse). RNAcentral describes it as "oocyte_clustered_small_RNA5874". Lineage: Eukaryota; Metazoa; Chordata; Mammalia; Rodentia; Muridae. The record is from RNAcentral.